RNAcentral lists this transfer RNA (76 nucleotides) under Acidiferrobacteraceae bacterium. RNAcentral's name for it is "tRNA-Val". It matches the Rfam family "tRNA". From Rfam's summary of the family: Transfer RNA (tRNA) molecules are approximately 80 nucleotides in length. Their secondary structure includes four short double-helical elements and three loops (D, anti-codon, and T loops). Further hydrogen bonds mediate the characteristic L-shaped molecular structure. tRNAs have two regions of fundamental functional importance: the anti-codon, which is responsible for specific mRNA codon recognition, and the 3' end, to which the tRNAs corresponding amino acid is attached (by aminoacyl-tRNA synthetases). tRNAs cope with the degeneracy of the genetic code in two manners: having more than one tRNA (with a specific anti-codon) for a particular amino acid; and 'wobble' base-pairing, i.e. permitting non-standard base-pairing at the 3rd anti-codon position. RNAcentral also lists the same sequence under 1 other name. The record is from RNAcentral. Lineage: Bacteria; Pseudomonadati; Pseudomonadota; Gammaproteobacteria; Acidiferrobacterales; Acidiferrobacteraceae.
GGGUGCUUAGCUCAGCUGGGAGAGCGUCGCCCUUACAAGGCGGAUGUCGCUGGUUCGAGCCCAGCAGUACCCACCA